AGACGGCCAAGAGAAAACUUGUUCUGUUUCACCAGGAAACUUGGGAUGAUCUGAGAACCAAGCCCUACACCUUUACUGUGCAGGGUGUCAGAACACCUGAGAGGAAGAGGCCAGCGUACUGCAUCAACACAAGGAAUUUUACUGGCAUAAAGGGAAAACAAAGAUGACACCACCGACCAGCAUAGUUACACCAAUACAAAAACUACGUGUGGACUAGGACUCAAUAGUACCUCAACCAAGAAUGGGGUCCCAUUGUGCUACCCUAAAGAGCUCAGAGUCUAGUGGAGAAAAGCAUUUCAGGAACCAAUGCCUUUAACUUCCAGCCAAUCAAAUUAAAAUUAGAGGUCACUGAUGGAAAUGUUCAUGAGCACAGAGCCAAGAACCAAUUCCUCUGGGAACCCACUAGAAACACACCCGCUCUAUGAUGAUUCCCCUUUUAGGUUUUCAGACUGGUCAGCUAUUUAAUGUGUGCCAUCUUGAUUACAUAUCAUUCUACUUUCUUAAUCAAAAUGGCAUAUGAGACCAAGUCAAACUCCUUCCAGAAGUCAAAGCUCAUGGUGCAGGGCGUCAGUCGACAGUCUACAGGAUUCCCUCCACUUCCAAUGUAUUCUGGGUUUUCUUGGUCUCCUUCCUCUGAAGCAUCAGGGAUGGCCAUGGCUGAAGUGGGAAACUGAACAGGGGGUUUCAUUAUGACAUUACAACAUCUAUGAUGUCAUCCUGCACAACUUCACCCGGAUUGGCAGGAGCACUUACCUGUACCAGGAGAUUUAAUGGAUUCUGGAGGACUCCUUCCCAGUGCCAUGAGCACAUGAAGCACUUCAGGUUCCUGUACUAAAGAGUGAAGGAUUCCAACAAUUGUUCCUGGAGGAGACAUAGCACAUGCCCCUGAAGCAUCCUGUUUGUUCACUUACUCCUGUUCCAAACCAUUUCAGUUCUGUGUUCAAUGUAUGCAUGUCAAUAAAAGUUACUAUUCA
Molecule: long non-coding RNA, 974 nt
Organism: Mauremys reevesii (Reeves's turtle)
Lineage: Eukaryota; Metazoa; Chordata; Testudines; Geoemydidae
Exons: 6
Source: RefSeq, a predicted model, not a curated record